Long non-coding RNA from Uloborus diversus, 860 nucleotides. RefSeq lists it as uncharacterized. The record is from RefSeq and is a predicted model, not a curated record. NCBI's taxonomy places the organism in Eukaryota, Metazoa, Arthropoda, Arachnida, Araneae, Uloboridae. The transcript is spliced from 3 exons.
ACCCUAAUUUGUUUUAGCAUUUUUUGGGUGAGAGGGCAUGUAUUGUUUUAAAAAUUAAUCUUGUGUUCUCUUAAUGUUAAGUACAAUUCUGAAUUUAUUGCAUUUUAAUAUAUAUGUUACUGUUUAUUUUGUUACUUUACUGUCAUUGCUGAAUUUUGAAUUUAGCUUUCAACUGGAGAUCGAAAUACAUUGAGACAUUGAACAUAUUCAUCAACUUUCAACAUUUUAGCAUUUUUCUAAAGUUUAUUUUCUAAUUUUAACUUUGCUAAAGAACUUUUGAGCUCAACCCAAACUCUUGGCCAUAUACAAAAAAAAUUUUAGGAAAUGGGAUCUUGUGUUGAAAAUGUAUCAGAAGAUGUCAAUAUGAAUUUCUGAUGUGCCAUUUGUAUAAUUUUAGAGAGGGUUCGGAGCCGUAACCUUCUGGGUAUAGCCUUCAGGCCUGAAAUUGGUCCUUGGACCUACAAUUUCCCACUUUAUUUGACAGUCACCUAGUUUUUGUUUACGAUUUCUUUUUUUAUUUUUAGUGUGUGCAAAAUUGCUAAUCUUGUUUUCUUAGCAGGCUAAUGUUGAAACAGGAUUUUCAGUGAAUAUAAUGUUAUUGAGACAAAUUGAGAAAAACAGGAAGCAUGUGCCACACAGAUAUCAUAAGAGGUUUACAUCAAUAGUUUUUGAACUAUGAUGGAAUAUAUUAAUUUGCCAAUCAUGUACUACUUAUGCAACAUGUCUGCCUAUUGCCUCAAAUUGUGGUUGAGUGAUGAUGAUCAUGAAUAGUGAAAAGAGUUAAAAGCACUUUCUAAAAAGUAAUUAUUGGCAGACUUCUUUUUGUUUUAUCAUCUAUUUUGAGCAUUAGAGAUAAAAGA